UUUAAGUCUCCUGAAGGAACGUUGAAGACGACGACGUUGAUAGGCCGGGUGUGUAAGCGCAGCGAUGCGUUGAGCUAACCGGUACUAAUGAACCGUGAGGCUUAACCUUA
Molecule: ribosomal RNA, 110 nt
Filed under: Klebsiella quasipneumoniae
Lineage: Bacteria; Pseudomonadati; Pseudomonadota; Gammaproteobacteria; Enterobacterales; Enterobacteriaceae
Description: 23S rRNA. Bacterial LSU
Rfam family: Bacterial large subunit ribosomal RNA
Source: RNAcentral